This 1215-nucleotide ribosomal RNA is filed under the name metagenome. Its description in RNAcentral is "bacterial SSU rRNA". It matches the Rfam family "Bacterial small subunit ribosomal RNA", at positions 295 to 1498 of the family's 1533-position model. The record is from RNAcentral.
AGAGGAUGAUCAGCCACACUGGAACUGACACACGGUCCAGACUCCUACGGGAGGCAGCAGUGAGGAAUUUUGCGCAAUGGGGGAAACCCUGACGCAGCAACGCCGCGUGAGUGAUGAAGGCCCUCGGGUCGUAAAGCUCUGUCAAGUGGGGAGAAAAUGUAAAAUGCUAAUAUCAUUUUGCACUGACGGUACCACUGAAGGAAGCACCGGCUAACUCCGUGCCAGCAGCCGCGGUAAUACGGAGGGUGCAAGCGUUAUUCGGAAUUAUUGGGCGUAAAGGGCGCGUAGGCGGCCCUUUAAGUCAGAUGUGAAAGCCCGGGGCUUAACCCCGGAAGUGCAUUUGAAACUAAAGGGCUUGAGUAUGGGAGAGGGAAGUGGAAUUCCUGGUGUAGCGGUGAAAUGCGUAGAUAUCAGGAGGAACACCGGUGGCGAAGGCGACUUCCUGGACCAAUACUGACGCUAAGGCGCGAAGGCGUGGGUAGCAAACAGGAUUAGAUACCCUGGUAGUCCACGCAGUAAACGGUGAACACUAGGUGUAGCGGGUAUUGACCCCUGCUGUGCCGCAGCUAACGCAUUAAGUGUUCCGCCUGGGGAGUACGGUCGCAAGAUUAAAACUCAAAGGAAUUGACGGGGGCCCGCACAAGCGGUGGAGCAUGUGGUUUAAUUCGACGCAACGCGAAGAACCUUACCUGGAUUUGACAUCCCGGGAAGUCUUUUGAAAGAAAGAUGUGCCCUUCGGGGAACCCGGUGACAGGUGCUGCAUGGCUGUCGUCAGCUCGUGUCGUGAGAUGUUGGGUUAAGUCCCGCAGCGAGCGCAACCCCUAUCUUUAGUUACCAUCAUUUAGUUGGGGACUCUAAAGAUACUGCUCCGGUUAACGGGGAGGAAGGUGGGGAUGACGUCAAGUCCUCAUGGCCUUUAUGUCCAGGGCUACACACGUGCUACAAUGGGCUGUACAAAGGGUUGCGAACCCGCGAGGGUGAGCCAAUCCCAGAAAGUAGCUCCUAGUUCGAAUUGGAGUCUGCAACUCGACUCCAUGAAGCUGGAAUCGCUAGUAAUCGUGGAUCAGCAUGCCACGGUGAAUACGUUCCCGGGCCUUGUACACACCGCCCGUCACACCAUGAGAGUUGGUUGUACCAGAAGUUGUUGGACUAACCUGUAAAGGAAGUAGGCACCUAAGGUAUGGCUGAUGAUUGGGGUGAAGUCGUAACAAGGUA